RNAcentral lists this ribosomal RNA (261 nucleotides) under uncultured bacterium. RNAcentral's name for it is "partial 16S ribosomal RNA". It matches the Rfam family "Bacterial small subunit ribosomal RNA", at positions 524 to 783 of the family's 1533-position model. The record is from RNAcentral.
UACGUAGGGUGCGAGCGUUAAUCGGAAUUACUGGGCGUAAAGCGUGCGCAGGCGGUUUUGUAAGCCAGAUGUGAAAUCCCCGGGCUUAACCUGGGAAUGGCAUUUGGGACUGCAAGGCUUGAGUGCGGCAGAGGAGACUGGAAAUUCCUGGUGUAGCAGUGAAAUGCGUAGAUAUCAGGAGGAACACCGAUGGCGAAGGCAGGUCUCUGGGCUGACACUGACGCUCAUGCACGAAAGCGUGGGGAGCAAACAGGAUUAGAU